Molecule: long non-coding RNA, 570 nt
Organism: Triticum dicoccoides
Lineage: Eukaryota; Viridiplantae; Streptophyta; Magnoliopsida; Poales; Poaceae
Exons: 2
Source: RefSeq, a predicted model, not a curated record
CGAGAUCCACCUCCACCUCCACCUCCAGCCGUUCCCCAAGCAGCUGACGAGCACCAGGUCAAGCUCCGCCACCUCCACCUCCAGCCGUUCCCCAAGCAGCUGACGAGCACCAGGCACCCGACGCCAUGGACGGCCGCGGAGCUUUUUGCCACCGACGUCAACCGCAUCGCCGCCCCAAGGGAUCCGUGCGCGUGGACGCGUUGAACCGCACGCGUGCUAGAUCCAUCUGCCGGUGUGUGCCGCCCCAGAAGUAGGUCCGGCAAUGACUCUCGGCCCAGCCGUUUCACUGCUCCCACCCAAGCCGGCCUCUGCUUUCGGACCCCGUCACCGGCGCACUGCCAUGCCCGUCCUCGUCGCACUGGUGUUGUCCUCCAGUAUGAUUGCUGGCUGCGACUGGGGCCUGUACACAUUUGGUUCGGUUGCAGCGCUGCUACUUUUGAUGGAUCUAGGCUGCCCAGGCUAGCAACGUGUGUGUUGCUUUCUUGAUGCGUUUUAAGUGCAUAUGAAUUUGAUGUAUUUUGGCACUUGUCCGUGUGUGAAUCUGAUGUGCAGAACACUUAUAAGUUGCUA